UAAGGAAUAUUGCGCAAUGGGGGAAACCCUGACGCAGCAACGCCGCGUGGAGGAUGACACUUUUCGGAGCGUAAACUCCUUUUAUCAGGAAAGAAUAAUGACGGUACCUGAUGAAUAAGCACCGGCUAACUCCGUGCCAGCAGCCGCGGUAAUACGGGGGGUGCAAGCGUUACUCGGAAUCACUGGGCGUAAAGGACGCGUAGGCGGAUUAUCAAGUCUUUUGUGAAAUCUAGUGGCUUAACCACUAAACUGCUUAGGAAACUGAUAGUCUAGAGUAGGGGAGAGGUAGAUGGAAUUCUUGGUGUAGGGGUAAGAUCCGUAGAGAUCAAGAAGAAUACCCAUUGCGAAAGCGAUCUGCUGGAACCUAACUGACGCUGAGGCGUGAAAGCGUGGGUAGCAAACAGG
Molecule: ribosomal RNA, 405 nt
Filed under: bacterium
Lineage: Bacteria
Description: partial 16S ribosomal RNA
Rfam family: Bacterial small subunit ribosomal RNA
Source: RNAcentral